This 336-nucleotide ribosomal RNA is filed under the name Triticum aestivum (bread wheat). RNAcentral's name for it is "partial small subunit ribosomal RNA". The record is from RNAcentral. Lineage: Eukaryota; Viridiplantae; Streptophyta; Magnoliopsida; Poales; Poaceae.
AUGGGGAUUCAAGUUAUAACGGCAAACUAUGUAAAUGCCCACUCCCCUAAUACUACUAGGAGAAAUGGAGGAUGGAGCAGACCUCCUAAGGGGUUUGUUAAGUUGAAUGUGGAUGCUCAUGGUCUGCUUAGGGGCACAAUCGGUGUUGUAAUCAGGGAUGACAAAGGAAAAUUCAUUGUUGAAGGAAAUUGGAAGAUUGAUUGGUGUGCUGAUGUUAUGACAGCGAAAGCGUUGGUGCUUAGGUUUGACUUAUUAUUGGCACAAAAGGCAGGCUGCAAUCGUCUCAUGAUUAACUCUGAUAACAUGGAAGUUAUUGACACGAUGAAGAAUAGAUGA